Molecule: ribosomal RNA, 497 nt
Filed under: uncultured bacterium
Lineage: Bacteria
Description: partial 16S ribosomal RNA
Rfam family: Bacterial small subunit ribosomal RNA
Source: RNAcentral
GAUGAACGCUGGCGGCGUGCCUAAUACAUGCAAGUCGAGCGAACGGACGAGAAGCUUGCUUCUCUGACGUUAGCGGCGGACGGGUGAGUAACACGUGGAUAACCUACCUAUAAGACUGGGAUAACUUCGGGAAACCGGAGCUAAUACCGGAUAAUAUUUUGAACCGCAUGGUUCAAAAGUGAAAGACGGUCUUGCUGUCACUUAUAGAUGGAUCCGCGCUGCAUUAGCUAGUUGGUAAGGUAACGGCUUACCAAGGCAACGAUGCGUAGCCGACCUGAGAGGGUGAUCGGCCACACUGGAACUGAGACACGGUCCAGACUCCUACGGGAGGCAGCAGUAGGGAAUCUUCCGCAAUGGGCGAAAGCCUGACGGAGCAACGCCGCGUGAGUGAUGAAGGUCUUCGGAUCGUAAAACUCUGUUAUUAGGGAAGAACAAAUGUGUAAGUAACUAUGCACGUCUUGACGGUACCUAAUCAGAAAGCCACGGCUAACUACGUG